AGCGAAUAGAUACCCGGGUAGUCCUGGCCCUAAACGCUGCUCGCUCGUUCUGCGGAGUAUCGACCCUCUGCGGGACUAAAGCUAACGCGGUAAGCGAGCCGCCUGGGUAGUACGAGCGCAAGCUUAAAACUCAAAGGAAUAGACGGGGACUCGCACAAGCGGUGGAUCAUGUGGCUUAAUUCGUCGGUAAGCGAAGAACCUUACCCAGGCUAGAAACCAAACUGCAUCCUUUCCGAAAGGAGAGGAGCCUUCGAGGGUGUUUGGCAGGUGAUGCAUGGUUGUCGUCAGUUCGUGGCUUGAGCUGUUCCCUUCAGUGGGGUAACGAACGCGACCCUCGUUGUCUGUUAUAUAUGUCAGGCGAGACUG
Molecule: ribosomal RNA, 366 nt
Filed under: uncultured bacterium
Lineage: Bacteria
Description: bacterial SSU rRNA
Rfam family: Bacterial small subunit ribosomal RNA
Source: RNAcentral